GACGAACGUUGGCGGCGUGCUUAAUACAUGCAAGUCAACUGAAGCAGCGGUAGCAAUCUCGCUGUGGAGGUGGCGCACGGGUGAGUAACACGUAGGUAAUCUGCCUUCAGGUCUGGCAUAACUCCGAGAAACCGGGGCUAAUAGCCGAUGAUGCAGCGGCUCGACAUCGAGACAGUUGUUAAAGCUAUGGCGCCUGAAGAUGAGCCUGCGUCUGAUUAGCUAGUUGGCGGGGUAACGGCCAACCAAGGCAACGAUCAGUAGCUGGCCUGGGAGGAUGAUGAGGCACACUGGAGGUGAGACACGGACCAGAAUCCUACCGGAGGCAGCAGUAGGGAAAAUAGCUCAAUGGGUGAAAUCCUGAAGCAACGACGCCGCGAGAAAGACGAAGUGCGGUAGCUUGUAAACCUCUGUGGUGAGAGAAAUAAAUCCCAAUCAUGGGUACAUGAUGGUAACUCAAAAAUAAGCCCCGGCUAACUACGUG
RNAcentral lists this ribosomal RNA (481 nucleotides) under uncultured bacterium. RNAcentral's name for it is "partial 16S ribosomal RNA". It matches the Rfam family "Bacterial small subunit ribosomal RNA", at positions 28 to 507 of the family's 1533-position model. The record is from RNAcentral.